Molecule: long non-coding RNA, 255 nt
Filed under: Elaeis guineensis (African oil palm)
Lineage: Eukaryota; Viridiplantae; Streptophyta; Magnoliopsida; Arecales; Arecaceae
Description: long non-coding RNA (EGUI_LNC051615)
Source: RNAcentral
GUUGGGUCUCCUUAUUUGAUAAAGAAUUAGACUCCUAAUUUGGUUAGGACAUGAUAAAAUAAGUUGGCAUCAACUACUUAAGGGAGGGACCUAACGCACUAUAGGUUAUGAAAAUUUUUUUUGUGAGACAAAAGGUGAGAAACCACUGGAGAUAUCAUAAGGAAAAAUAAGAAGGGAAGGGCGCAAAUUCCUUUUGGGCGUGGAGACCCCUUAGGCAUCUUUGUUUCUUGGCAUGAAGGUCCUAUCCAAGAUCCC